CCCCUAGAUCAGUGGGGGCUCUUAUAGCAUUGUAUGAGUGAGCAGUUGAGAUAUUCGCCUCAUUAGUUAAUAUUAAUGCCUAUCAUCAACCUGGUAAAUAGUUUACCUCAUAAUGCUUAUUUAAAUUAGAUGGUUGCUAUAUGUUUUGGGCUUAUUGCUGUUGAGAAUAUGUGUGGCCUCUCUGAGUCAAGAAAUUAAAUCAAUUCAUCCAACUGGCUUUUUUUUUCUUGGCCCUGAUGUGCGACUGAAAUUCUUAGGUGUCGAAGCUGGGAAAAAGGCAACAGCAGAAGUAUGUGCUCGUCAUAAACGGGUUCUGGCUGUACUCAGUGAGGCCAGGUAUCUUACUAUAACAAGCUUGUCUAAGAUGGAAACUAUCAGCUCUUAAGGAACGGGGAACACUUAAAGAAACUAUUGAGUGGGGGGUGGUAGAAACAUGGAUAAGAAGAAAAGCAAGCUCAUAGGCAUUGCAGAUGAUGGACAGAAAGAGAUCCGCAUUGAAAGGGCAGAUGAAUUUGGCCGAAUAUUAACCCCAAAGGAAGCAAAGCUUUCCGAUUGCUUUCCCAUAAAUUUCAUGGAAAAGGGCCUGGCAAAAUGAAGCAAGAGAAGCGCAUGAAGCAAUACCAGGAAGAGUUGAAGUUGAAGCAGAUGAAGAAUUCAAACACGCCUUCUUUGUCUACAUAGAGGAUGAGGGAAGCUCAAGCUCAAAUGAAGACACCUUAUCUUGCGCUUAGUGGUCAUGUUAAGCCUGGUGAUCCAAGAAAGAAGUCAGAGCCACCAUUGAGAAGGAUCCUGGGAGCUUAACGCCCAUUGCUUGGAGAUAGGAAGGUCAGUGUCGACCCAAGUUUGUUGCUUUUUCAUC
Eucalyptus grandis is the source of this 859-nucleotide long non-coding RNA. RefSeq lists it as uncharacterized. NCBI's taxonomy places the organism in Eukaryota, Viridiplantae, Streptophyta, Magnoliopsida, Myrtales, Myrtaceae. The record is from RefSeq and is a predicted model, not a curated record. The transcript has 3 exons.